Canis lupus familiaris (dog) is the source of this 83-nucleotide non-coding RNA. The record is from Rfam. Lineage: Eukaryota; Metazoa; Chordata; Mammalia; Carnivora; Canidae.
GCCUGGGUGGCUCAGUGGUUGAGCGUCUGCCUUCAGCUGAGGGCAUGAUUCCAGAGUCUUGGGAUCAAGUCCCACAUCGGGCU